AGUGAACGCUGGCGGUAGGCCUAACACAUGCAAGUCGAACGGCAGCACAGUAAGAGCUUGCUCUUACGGGUGGCGAGUGGCGGACGGGUGAGGAAUACAUCGGAAUCUACUUUUUCGUGGGGGAUAACGUAGGGAAACUUACGCUAAUACCGCAUACGACCUACGGGGGAAAGCAGGGGAUCUUCGGACCUUGCGCGAUUGAUUGAGCCGAUGUCGGAUUAGCUAGUUGGCGGGGUAAAGGCCCACCAAGGCGACGAUCCGUAGCUGGUCUGAGAGGAUGAUCAGCCACACUGGAACUGAGACACGGUCCAGACUCCUACGGGAGGCAGCAGUGGGGAAUAUUGGACAAUGGGCGCAAGCCUGAUCCAGCCAUACCGCGUGGGUGAAGAAGGCCUUCGGGUUGUAAAGCCCUUUUGUUGGGAAAGAAAAGCAGCAGGUUAAUACCCCGCUGUUCUGACGGUACCCAAAGAAUAAGCACCGGCUAACUUCGUG
RNAcentral lists this ribosomal RNA (492 nucleotides) under uncultured bacterium. RNAcentral's name for it is "partial 16S ribosomal RNA". It matches the Rfam family "Bacterial small subunit ribosomal RNA", at positions 29 to 507 of the family's 1533-position model. The record is from RNAcentral.